AACGAACGCUGGCGGCAUGCCUAACACAUGCAAGUCGAACGAGACCUUCGGGUCUAGUGGCGCACGGGUGCGUAACGCGUGGGAACCUGCCCUUAGGUUCGGAAUAACUCCCCGAAAGGGGUGCUAAUACCGGAUAAUGUCUUCGGACCAAAGAUUUAUCGCCUUUGGAUGGGCCCGCGUUGGAUUAGCUAGUUGGUAGGGUAAAAGCCUACCAAGGCGACGAUCCAUAGCUGGUCUGAGAGGAUGAUCAGCCACACUGGGACUGAGACACGGCCCAGACUCCUACGGGAGGCAGCAGUGGGGAAUAUUGGACGAUGGGCGAAAGCCUGAGCCAGCAAUGCCGCGUGAGUGAUGAAGGCCUUGGGGUUGUAAAGCUCUUUUACCCGGGAUGAUAAUGACAGUACCGGGAGAAUAAGCGCCGGCUAACUCCGUG
Molecule: ribosomal RNA, 433 nt
Filed under: uncultured bacterium
Lineage: Bacteria
Description: partial 16S ribosomal RNA
Rfam family: Bacterial small subunit ribosomal RNA
Source: RNAcentral